RNAcentral lists this ribosomal RNA (617 nucleotides) under uncultured Bacteroidales bacterium. Its description in RNAcentral is "bacterial SSU rRNA". It matches the Rfam family "Bacterial small subunit ribosomal RNA", at positions 105 to 721 of the family's 1533-position model. The record is from RNAcentral. Lineage: Bacteria; Pseudomonadati; Bacteroidota; Bacteroidia; Bacteroidales.
GGUGCGUAACGCGUAUGUAACCUACCUAUAACAGGGGCAUAACACUGAGAAAUUGGUACUAAUUCCCCAUAAUAUUCGGAGAGGCAUCUCUCCGGGUUGAAAACUCCGGUGGUUAUAGAUGGACAUGCGUUGUAUUAGCUAGUUGGUGAGGUAACGGCUCACCAAGGCAACGAUACAUAGGGGGACUGAGAGGUUAACCCCCCACACUGGUACUGAGACACGGAUCAGACUCCUACGGGAGGCAGCAGUGAGGAAUAUUGGUCAAUGGACGCAAGUCUGAACCAGCCAUGCCGCGUGCAGGAAGACGGCUCUAUGAGUUGUAAACUGCUUUUGUACGAGGGUAAACUCACCUACGUGUAGGUGACUGAAAGUAUCGUACGAAUAAGGAUCGGCUAACUCCGUGCCAGCAGCCGCGGUAAUACGGAGGAUUCAAGCGUUAUCCGGAUUUAUUGGGUUUAAAGGGUGCGUAGGCGGUUUGAUAAGUUAGAGGUGAAAUCCCGGGGCUUAACUCCGGAACUGCCUCUAAUACUGUUAGACUAGAGAGUAGUUGCGGUAGGCGGAAUGUAUGGUGUAGCGGUGAAAUGCUUAGAGAUCAUACAGAACACCGAUUGCGAAGG